GUUAAGUUGCAGGGUAUAGACCCGAAACCCGGUGAUCUAGCCAUGGGCAGGUUGAAGGUUGGGUAACACUAACUGGAGGACCGAACCGACUAAUGUUGAAAAAUUAGCGGAUGACUUGUGGCUGGGGGUGAAAGGCCAAUCAAACCGGGAGAUAGCUGGUUCUCCCCGAAAGCUAUUUAGGUAGCGCCUCGUGAAUUCAUCUCCGGGGGUAGAGCACUGUUUCGGCAAGGGGGUCAUCCCGACUUACCAACCCGAUGCAAACUGCGAAUACCGGAGAAUGUUAUCACGGGAGACACACGGCGGGUGCUAACGUCCGUCGUGAAGAGGGAAACAACCCAGACCGCCAGCUAAGGUCCCAAAGUCAUGGUUAAGUGGGAAACGAUGUGGGAAGGCCCAGACAGCCAGGAUGUUGGCUUAGAAGCAGCCAUCAUUUAAAGAAAGCGUAAUAGCUCACUGGUCGAGUCGGCCUGCGCGGAAGAUGUAACGGGGCUAAACCAUGCACCGAAGCUGCGGCAGCGACGCUGAUGCGUUGUUGGGUA
Molecule: ribosomal RNA, 539 nt
Filed under: Escherichia coli
Lineage: Bacteria; Pseudomonadati; Pseudomonadota; Gammaproteobacteria; Enterobacterales; Enterobacteriaceae
Description: partial 23S ribosomal RNA
Rfam family: Bacterial large subunit ribosomal RNA
Source: RNAcentral